AGAGUUUGAUCCUGGCUCAGGAUGAACGCUAGCUACAGGCUUAACACAUGCAAGUCGAGGGGCAGCAUGAACUUAGCUUGCUAAGUUUGAUGGCGACCGGCGCACGGGUGAGUAACACGUAUCCAACCUGCCGAUGACUCGGGGAUAGCCUUUCGAAAGAAAGAUUAAUACCCGAUGGCAUAGUUCUUCCGCAUGGUAGAACUAUUAAAGAAUUUCGGUCAUCGAUGGGGAUGCGUUCCAUUAGGUUGUUGGCGGGGUAACGGCCCACCAAGCCUUCGAUGGAUAGGGGUUCUGAGAGGAAGGUCCCCCACAUUGGAACUGAGACACGGUCCAAACUCCUACGGGAGGCAGCAGUGAGGAAUAUUGGUCAAUGGACGAGAGUCUGAACCAGCCAAGUAGCGUGAAGGAUGACUGCCCUAUGGGUUGUAAACUUCUUUUAUACGGGAAUAAAGUGAGGCACGUGUGCCUUUUUGUAUGUACCGUAUGAAUAAGGAUCGGCUAACUCCGUGCCAGCAGCCGCGGUAAUACGGAGGAUCCGAGCGUUAUCCGGAUUUAUUGGGUUUAAAGGGAGCGUAGGCGGACGCUUAAGUCAGUUGUGAAAGUUUGCGGCUCAACCGUAAAAUUGCAGUUGAUACUGGGUGUCUUGAGUACAGUAGAGGCAGGCGGAAUUCGUGGUGUAGCGGUGAAAUGCUUAGAUAUCACGAAGAACUCCGAUUGCGAAGGCAGCUUGCUGGACUGUAACUGACACUGAAGCACGAAAGCGUGGGGAUCAAACAGGAUUAGAUACCCUGGUAGUCCACGCAGUAAACGAUGAUUACUAGGAGUUUGCGAUACAAUGUAAGCUCUACAGCGAAAGCGUUAAGUAAUCCACCUGGGGAGUACGCCGGCAACGGUGAAACUCAAAGGAAUUGACGGGGGCCCGCACAAGCGGAGGAACAUGUGGUUUAAUUCGAUGAUACGCGAGGAACCUUACCCGGGUUUGAACGUAGUCUGACCGGAGUGGAAACACUCCUUCUAGCAAUAGCAGAUUACGAGGUGCUGCAUGGUUGUCGUCAGCUCGUGCCGUGAGGUGUCGGCUUAAGUGCCAUAACGAGCGCAACCCUUAUCACUAGUUACUAACAGGUGAAGCUGAGGACUCUGGUGAGACUGCCAGCGUAAGCUGUGAGGAAGGUGGGGAUGACGUCAAAUCAGCACGGCCCUUACAUCCGGGGCGACACACGUGUUACAAUGGCAUGGACAAAGGGCAGCUACCUGGCGACAGGAUGCUAAUCUCCAAACCAUGUCUCAGUUCGGAUCGGAGUCUGCAACUCGACUCCGUGAAGCUGGAUUCGCUAGUAAUCGCGCAUCAGCCAUGGCGCGGUGAAUACGUUCCCGGGCCUUGUACUCACCGCCCGUCAAG
This 1399-nucleotide ribosomal RNA is filed under the name uncultured bacterium. Its description in RNAcentral is "bacterial SSU rRNA". It matches the Rfam family "Bacterial small subunit ribosomal RNA". The record is from RNAcentral.